RNAcentral lists this transfer RNA (73 nucleotides) under Amborella trichopoda. It matches the Rfam family "tRNA". From Rfam's summary of the family: Transfer RNA (tRNA) molecules are approximately 80 nucleotides in length. Their secondary structure includes four short double-helical elements and three loops (D, anti-codon, and T loops). Lineage: Eukaryota; Viridiplantae; Streptophyta; Magnoliopsida; Amborellales; Amborellaceae. The record is from Rfam by way of RNAcentral.
GCGGGGUAGAGUAAUUGAUCAACUCAUUAGGUUCAUGAUCUGAGAAUUACAGGUUCGAAUCCUAUCCCUGGCU